Molecule: ribosomal RNA, 460 nt
Filed under: uncultured bacterium
Lineage: Bacteria
Description: partial 16S ribosomal RNA
Rfam family: Bacterial small subunit ribosomal RNA
Source: RNAcentral
CCUACGGGCGGCAGCAGUGAGGAAUAUUGGUCAAUGGGCGAGAGCCUGAACCAGCCAAGUAGCGUGAAGGAUGACUGCCCUACGGGUUGUAAACUUCUUUUAUAAAGGAAUAAAGUGAGGCACGCGUGGCUUUAUGUAUGUACUUUAUGAAUAAGGCUCGGCUAACUCCGUGUCCACAGUCGUCGUAAUACGGAGGAACUGAGCGUUAUACGGAUUUUUUGGGGUUACAGGGAGCGUAGAUGGGUUUUUAAGUCAGUUGCGAAAGUUUGCGGCUCAACCGUAAAAUUGCAAUUGAUACUGGCAGCCUUGAGUGCAGUUGAGGUAGGCGGAAUGCGUGGUGGAGCGGUGAAAUGCUUAGAUAUCACGAAGAACUCCGAUUGCGAAGGCAGCCUACUAAACUGCCACUGACAUUGAUGCUCGAAAGUGUGGGUAUCAAACAGGAUUAGAUACCCUUGUAGUC